RNAcentral lists this ribosomal RNA (479 nucleotides) under uncultured bacterium. RNAcentral describes it as "partial 16S ribosomal RNA". It matches the Rfam family "Bacterial small subunit ribosomal RNA", at positions 28 to 523 of the family's 1533-position model. The record is from RNAcentral.
GACGAACGCUGGCGGCGUGCUUAACACAUGCAAGUCGAGCGAUGAAGUUUCUUCGGAAAUGGAUUAGCGGCGAACGGGUGAGUAACACGUGAGGAAUCUGCCCUUCACUUUGGAAUAACUCCGGGAAACCGGAGCUAAUACCGGAUACGAACUCUGGCGGCAUCGCCGGGGUCGGAAAGUUUUUCGGUGAAGGAUGACCUCGCGGCCUAUCAGCUUGUUGGUGAGGUAAUGGCUCACCAAGGCGACGACGGGUAGCCGGCCUGAGAGGGCGACCGGCCACACUGGGACUGAGACACGGCCCAGACUCCUACGGGAGGCAGCAGUGGGGAAUAUUGGGCAAUGGGCGAAAGCCUGACCCAGCGACGCCGCGUGCGGGAUGAAGGCCUUCGGGUUGUAAACCGCUUCCAGCAGGGAAGAAGCGAAAGUGACGGUACCUGAAGAAGAAGCACCGGCUAACUAUGUGCCAGCCGCCGCAGUAA